Molecule: ribosomal RNA, 423 nt
Filed under: uncultured Nitrososphaerota archaeon
Lineage: Archaea; Thermoproteati; Nitrososphaerota
Description: bacterial SSU rRNA
Rfam family: Archaeal small subunit ribosomal RNA
Source: RNAcentral
CCUAUGGGGUGCAGCAGGCGCGAAACCUCUGCAAUAGGCGAAAGCUUGACAGGGUUACUCUGAGUGAUUUCCGUUAAGGAGAUCUUUUGGCACCUCUAAAAAUGGUGCAGAAUAAGGGGUGGGCAAGUCUGGUGUCAGCCGCCGCGGUAAUACCAGCACCCCGAGUGGUCGGGACGUUUAUUGGGCCUAAAGCAUCCGUAGCCGGUUCUACAAGUCUUCCGUUAAAUCCACCUGCUUAACAGAUGGGCUGCGGAAGAUACUAUAGAGCUAGGAGGCGGGAGAGGCAAGCGGUACUCGAUGGGUAGGGGUAAAAUCCGUUGAUCCAUUGAAGACCACCAGUGGCGAAGGCGGCUUGCCAGAACGCGCUCGACGGUGAGGGAUGAAAGCUGGGGGAGCAAACCGGAUUAGAUACCCCCGUAGUCC